Molecule: unclassified non-coding RNA, 313 nt
Filed under: uncultured Tomentella
Lineage: Eukaryota; Fungi; Basidiomycota; Agaricomycetes; Thelephorales; Thelephoraceae
Description: sequence contains 5.8S rRNA gene
Source: RNAcentral
GAACGCACCUUGCGCCCUUUGGCCAUUCCGAAGGGCAUGCCUGUUUGAGUAUCAUGAACACCUCAACUCUCAUGGCUCGCCAUGAUGAGCUUGGAUUUGGGGGUCUUGCUGGCCUGUGGUCAGCUCCUCUCAAAUGGAUCAGCUUGCCAGUGUUUGGUGGCAUCACAAGUGUGAUAACUAUCUGCGCUUGUGGUUUUCCAUCAGAUAACCUUCAGUGAUGGAGGUUCGCUGGAGCUCAUAAACGUCUCCCUUAAGCGGGGACAGCCCUUUGAAUGUUUGAUCUCAAAUCAGGUAGGACUACCCGCGGAACUUA